Molecule: ribosomal RNA, 742 nt
Filed under: uncultured bacterium
Lineage: Bacteria
Description: bacterial SSU rRNA
Rfam family: Bacterial small subunit ribosomal RNA
Source: RNAcentral
AGAGUUUGAUCCUGGCUCAGAACGAACGCUGGCGGCAGGCUUAACACAUGCAAGUCGAACGCGUGUAGCAAUACACGAGUGGCGCACGGGUGAGUAACGCGUGGAUAUCUGCCUUUUGUCGGAAUAACCCCGGGAAACUGGGGCUAAUACCGAAUGGUUCCUACGGGAUAAAGAUUUAUCGCCAAAAGAUGAGUCCGCGUCCGAUUAGCUAGUUGGUGGGGUAACGGCCCACCAAGGCGACGAUCGGUAGCUGGUCUGAGAGGACGAUCAGCCACACUGGGACUGAGACACGGCCCAGACUCCUACGGGAGGCAGCAGUGGGGAAUAUUGGACAAUGGGGGCAACCCUGAUCCAGCCAUGCCGCGUGAGUGAUGAAGGCCUUCGGGUUGUAAAGCUCUUUUGGCGGGGACGAUGAUGACGGUACCCGCAGAAUAAGCCCCGGCUAACUUCGUGCCAGCAGCCGCGGUAAGACGAAGGGGGCUAGCGUUGUUCGGAAUUACUGGGCGUAAAGCGCGUGCAGGCGGUUGCCAAAGUCGGGUGUGAAAGCCUUGAGCUCAACUCAAGAAUUGCACUCGAUACUUGGUGACUAGAGGACCGGAGAGGAUAGUGGAAUUCCCAGUGUAGUGGUGAAAUACGUAGAGAUUGGGAAGAACACCAGUGGCGAAGGCGGCUAUCUGGACGGUUUCUGACGCUGAGACGCGAAAGCGUGGGGAGCAAACAGGAUUAGAUACCCCCGUAGUCC